UACGGAGGAUGCAAGCGUUAUCCGGAAUUAUUGGGCGUAAAGCGUCCGCAGGUGGCACUUCAAGUCUGUCGUCAAAGACCGGGGCUUAACCCUGGAAAGGCGAUGGAAACUGAAAGGCUAGAGAGAGGUAGGGGUAGAGGGAAUUCCCAGUGUAGCGGUGAAAUGCGUAGAGAUCGGGAGGAACACCGGCGGCGAAGGCGGCUGCCUGGACCAGUCCUGACGCUGAGGCGCGAAAGCGUGGGGAGCAAACAGG
Molecule: ribosomal RNA, 253 nt
Filed under: uncultured bacterium
Lineage: Bacteria
Description: partial 16S ribosomal RNA
Rfam family: Bacterial small subunit ribosomal RNA
Source: RNAcentral